AAUAAAGUGCCUGAAUAAAGGAUUAUUCUGAUAGGAUAAAUUAUGUAGGUUUCUACCUUUAUUA
RNAcentral lists this transfer RNA (64 nucleotides) under Retinia pseudotsugaicola. RNAcentral describes it as "tRNA-Ile". Lineage: Eukaryota; Metazoa; Arthropoda; Insecta; Lepidoptera; Tortricidae. The record is from RNAcentral.